RNAcentral lists this ribosomal RNA (475 nucleotides) under uncultured bacterium. RNAcentral's name for it is "bacterial SSU rRNA". It matches the Rfam family "Bacterial small subunit ribosomal RNA", at positions 28 to 507 of the family's 1533-position model. The record is from RNAcentral.
AAUGAACGUUGGCGGCGUGGAUUAGGCAUGCAAGUCGAGCGAGAAACCAAUUAGCUUGCUAUGAGGUGGACAGCGGCGAAAGGGAGAGUAACGCGUGGUUACGUGCCCUCGGGACCGGGAUAGUGUCGGGAAACUGGCAGUAAUACCGGAUGAUAUCUUCGGAUCAAAUGGUGAGAUUCCGCCCGAGGAUCGGACCGCGUACUAUUAGCUUGUUGGCGGGGUAAUGGCCCACCAAGGCUGCGAUGGUUACCGGGUGUGAGAGCAUGGCCCGGCUCACUGGGACUGAGACACUGCCCAGACAUCUACGGAUGGCUGCAGUCGAGAAUCUUCGGCAAUGGACGAAAGUCUGACCGAGCGACGCCGCGUGCGGGAUGAAGGCCCUCGGGUUGUAAACCGCUGUCAGUUGGGAGGAAAUCCAUGGGGGUUCUCCCCUGUGGUUGACCGAGCUUCAGAGGAAGGACGGGCUAAGUUCGUG